Molecule: long non-coding RNA, 290 nt
Organism: Nannospalax galili (Upper Galilee mountains blind mole rat)
Lineage: Eukaryota; Metazoa; Chordata; Mammalia; Rodentia; Spalacidae
Exons: 3
Source: RefSeq, a predicted model, not a curated record
UGGCUGCUAGCGCACUGGCUUCUCAACUCGUGGGCUCGUGGGCCGGGCGCGUGGGCCGGACGUUACACCCUGUGCACCUCGCGGACCUCCUGGCCGACUUGCUGCCUCAGAGUCAAGGUUUUCAAGAGUGCAGUGCUACUUGUGCCAGAGGGUCUCAUGCAGGCUGGCACUGAACUCCCUCUCUGGUCAAGGAUGGCUGAGAACUUUCUGAGGAUGAUCUUGAACUUCCUGAUUGUCCAGGGCUUCAUGCGUGCUAGGGUUUCAUGUAGCCCAAGUUGGCCUCAAAAUCC